Molecule: long non-coding RNA, 281 nt
Filed under: Pan troglodytes (chimpanzee)
Lineage: Eukaryota; Metazoa; Chordata; Mammalia; Primates; Hominidae
Description: long non-coding RNA NONPTRT016585
Source: RNAcentral
UGCGAAGGUGCUGAUACCACUGACUGGAGCUACACUGACUCCCAAGCACUGCUGCGUGAAACAAUACGAAGAGGCUGCAGCGGAUGCAAGAUCUACUUGUGUCGCUGAGCUCGCGCUCCUCCUCCUCCUCCUCGCCAUAGAGACAGCACCCGGCGGCGGUGGCGGUGGCGGUAGCGGCGGCGGCAGCGGGUGCCCCAUAGACACCUCUCGCCCAGCGAAGGGAAAGGCGAGCAGAAGCUGCGCCGCACCGUGCUGCGCCGUCGCUUUUCGCACGUCCUGAC